This is a long non-coding RNA of Mustela erminea (ermine), 964 nucleotides long. RefSeq lists it as uncharacterized. Lineage: Eukaryota; Metazoa; Chordata; Mammalia; Carnivora; Mustelidae. The record is from RefSeq and is a predicted model, not a curated record. The transcript is spliced from 3 exons.
AAUAGUUCUGACUUUUCCCCUUUGCCAAAGGGCUUGCUGCUCAAGAGAAGUUAAAUCUGGAUCUGUUUCCGGGAGUUAAGGGUCUUGAGCACUCGCGUGGCUUUGCUGCAACUGCACAGCAUCGGGGUCGAAGGUGGAAUCUAAGCCCACCUGGCUCCUUCCCUUCUCCCUGGAAUCUGCAGGCUCCCAGGCCAAACCCAGCGCACCCCUUCGGAAACAGGGUUCUGUCUUGACAAGCCGGAACACUGCUGGAGCUGGGAACGAGUAGAAGCUUCUCUGCCAGGUGCAUUUACAUCCGGGUUUCAUCUUCCUCUUAAGGCAGCUUCGCUGGCGCAGGUACCUGCGUGGGAAGGUGAAGACGCAAAGCGCUCAGCACCCGCCAUCCUUUCACAGAGGACAUGGGGCCGAGCUGUUCCUCGAGGGAGGCGGACCACCGCUGCCUGGGCAAGUGCGGUAUGGGGGCAGGAGAAUCGUCUAGAGCCUUGCUGCUCAAUGCGUGGUUCGGGAACUGAAGCGUAUCAACACCACUUGGUACGAAGAUCUCAGCUUCACCUCAGACAAGCUAACUCAGAACCUGCAUUUUAACAAGAGAUCCACCCACACAUGGUUUGACUGCACUUUAAAGGUUUUUACUUACAGUAUUUUAACUGCAAGGAUUUUUCUGCUACACGGACCAAGAGAAGAGGGCCUGGGACUGAAUCUGAGAAACCCAACAUGGAAGAAGGGGGUUGAUGAGGACGAGCUGCCCAGAAAGCUAGGAGAAAACCCGGUGGGCUUGACUCACGGAAGCCCAGAGCAAUGACCUUUUAAGGACAUAAUUUUUGUCAGUUUCUCUUAUCACGCUGACAAGCAUGUAAUGAAAGCCCUCCAUAAAUAUUAGCCAUUGUUCCUGCGGUGGGUAGUAGUUGUAAUUUAAGCGUUUGUUUUUUUCUUUAAAGGUUUUUUGUUUAUUUACUUGAGAGGG